Molecule: long non-coding RNA, 3220 nt
Organism: Helianthus annuus (common sunflower)
Lineage: Eukaryota; Viridiplantae; Streptophyta; Magnoliopsida; Asterales; Asteraceae
Exons: 2
Source: RefSeq, a predicted model, not a curated record
AAUGAUAUGUUUAUGGGCUCUCAUUCUAUUGGGUUCAGCCAUAUAUUUUGGGCCUCUUGUUACUAAUUUGUUUCAUAUUGCUAGUUUGUUGCAACAGUUUUUGAUGUGUUGGAUAUUUUGGAGGGUGUAAAGUGGUAGUAUCAGGGGUUGAAAUGGGCAUCUUCCAAUUCUUAUGGUUCUUUGUGUAACCUUUCAAGUGCAGCCAUAUAUAAGAGUUCUCUCUCUCAUUCGGUUAUUAAUUCACUACAGAAAUCAUUAUCUUCUAUAUAUUAAAUCUAGGGUUUCAUUAUCCUUCAUCUGGUUUUGUAUGCGUAUCAGUCCAUAUGAUGAGUUGAUCUCUUUCAAGUUUGGUUGAAGCUACUGAAUCGUUUUGGAGUCACUGUGCAUCAGAGUUUCUACAAGUCUUUCAGGAGAUUAGUUCUUUCUACUCUGUUAUUUAUUUGUAUCCUUUGUAUUGUAGUUGUUGUUGUUAGAUCUUUGAUAGAUCUGGUGAUCAUUGUUCCUGAACAUCUGAUUGUUUGUAUCAGAUGUUUAUUGUUCUGUAUUCUGUUAACAGAUCUUACUAUUUGUAAGAUCUAGGGUUUUGGGGGGUGUUUUUCGGUUUGGGUAAAUAAUAAAGUUUUGUCACCGUUUUUGUCGCUUCUUUGUUGUUCAGUAUUGAUUGAAUGUUUGGAUUGUUGUUUUCUCAUACCAUUUUUUGACAUGGUAUCAGAGCCUAGGCUCCGAUCUAUGGUCGAUAUUGAUUCUGGUGUUCUUCCGCUAUAAUUUUUUGACGAUUUUUUUUUGGUUUGUAGAUCUGAAUCCCUUGGUUGCUUAUUCUCUAUUUCUUGACAGUUUUUUUUUUGUGUUCAUUGUGAGCUCUUGCAUGAUACUUUUCUUUUUAAUGAUUACGGCAGUUAUUGUGUUGUUAAUCUGCAGCUAGAGUUGUGAGAGUUUUUUUUCUUUGUAUUUGGUUCAUAGAUCUGUUGAUCUUAAGUGUUGAUUGUCAAGGUUUUGAGUAUAUAGGAUAGUUUCUCGUUAUUGGUCUUUAAGUUUAAGAGAUUUAAGUGCUACGGAUUAGGGUCAUGUAUUUUGUGUUCUCGUGUUUUGGGUCUGAAUCUAUUUUUUUAAUAAGUGUUGUUCUGUUUUGAUCCUUUGCUUGAAGUGUGCAGAUUGGAUUUGAUUAGAUCUAUUUGAUUAUUGACUGUAGCUAAUCUGAUCUUUUGUUUGGAGUUAGGAUUUAUGUUCUUAGAAACCGGUUGGGUUAUUGUACGUGUGAUACUGAAGUUGUAACCCUAGAUCAAGGGUUUGAUGUGCGGCUGAAGGUUUGUUGUUGGGUCUUGUGAUUCAAUCGUAAUGGUGUAGAUGUUUUCUUUGUUCUGAAUCGUGUGAUUCAACUCUGUUGUUUGGACCGUUGUAGUGUUUUCUGAAUAUUGUCCGUAUGUCUUAUUGUUUUAGUGUGGUAUGAUUAGUCGAACCUUGUGGUUUGAGUGUUCUUUAAUCUGUUGAUCUAUCAAGAUUGUUCUUGAUGUCUAUGUCUGCCUUGCUUGAGGUCUAUAUGUUGAGAAUCUUUGUCUUGAAUGUUGUUAAAAUGUCUUUGGUUUGCAGUCACUAUGUCUGCUUGUCUAUAGUUUUGUUUGUAUGGUUAGUUGAGCUGUGUGGUUCAUGUUUAACCAAAGUUUUGACAAGAUUAUUUUGUAUAUGUGACAGCCUUGUAUGUUUUCUCUUGUGAGAAAUAUUGUUCUGGUUGCAAAUUGUAUAACUUUGUGAUUAAUCAGGAUUUGUAUGGCUGUGUCUUAUAGUCUUGUGUAUGUCUUGAUAUUCUCAGUCUUGUUACUUGUAUGUAUGUGAUGUUAGCCUUGUAUAUUUCUUUUAUGUAAGAGAUAUUUUUUUUUGUUGGUUAUAAAAGCAUGUGACUGUGCAUUUUGCCAGAGUUUGUGUAGGCUAUCAUUGUUGUCUAGUGUUCUUAGUUAGAACUGUUUCUCUGUCUUGUUGACUGUUUUUUAUAGAGAAUUCUUUGAUUUGUUGUUAGUGUUUGUGUUUUCUUCAAAGGAUCUCUUGUCUCGUAUUGUAAUUGUCUGGAUUCCUUGUAUAUCUGAGUUGGAAUAUUGUUUCUUGAAUUUCUAUUUUCUUGGUUUAUUUCUCUAGGUUGUUGUGAAUAUGACUGUUACAGGUGGAUCAGUUAGUAUUCUGUGUUAUAUAGUUCUUUGAUAAAAACUUGCUGAUAACUUUGUUUUACCUGUUAAAGCUUAGUAAAAAUAUCAUAUCAAUUUGUAUGUAUCCUAAUUUCAUGAGAGGUCUUCUCACUUUGAAAUAAAUAUGCAUAUUCUGUGAAAAGGUUUUUUGCUAGUAUUAUUGAACUUGAAAAGGUUCAUAUAGAUGUUCAGGUUGCGUAGAAAGUGAGUGUUAACUGAUGAAAGGAACUUGGUAUUUUUAGACGUGUUUGCCACCUGGAUGAAGGGGGCAUGUUAAAAAUGUUGUAAAUGAUAUUUUCAGGCUGUCAUUCAGGUUGCAAAAUGGGUAUUAUUAACAUGUAUAGUAUAUGAAUGUUGGGUAUGUUUGAUUUGUUUAGACCCAAUUGAAUGAAGGGGGGAUGUUGAAAUGAUAUGUUUAUGGGCUCUCAUUCUAUUGGGUUCAGCCAUAUAUUUUGGGCCUCUUGUUACUAAUUUGUUUCAUAUUGCUAGUUUGUUGCAACAGUUUUUGAUGUGUUGGAUAUUUUGGAGGGUGUAAAGUGGUAGUAUCAGGGGUUGAAAUGGGCAUCUUCCAAUUCUUAUGGUUCUUUGUGUAACCUUUCAAGUGCAGCCAUAUAUAAGAGUUCUCUCUCUCAUUCGGUUAUUAAUUCACUACAGAAAUCAUUAUCUUCUAUAUAUUAAAUCUAGGGUUUCAUUAUCCUUCAUCUGGUUUUGUAUGCGUAUCAGUCCAUAUGAUGAGUUGAUCUCUUUCAAGUUUGGUUGAAGCUACUGAAUCGUUUUGGAGUCACUGUGCAUCAGAGUUUCUACAAGUCUUUCAGGAGAUUAGUUCUUUCUACUCUGUUAUUUAUUUGUAUCCUUUGUAUUGUAGUUGUUGUUGUUAGAUCUUUGAUAGAUCUGGUGAUCAUUGUUCCUGAACAUCUGAUUGUUUGUAUCAGAUGUUUAUUGUUCUGUAUUCUGUUAACAGAUCUUACUAUUUGUAAGAUCUAGGGUUUUGGGGGGUGUUUUUCGGUUUGGGUAAAUAAUAAAGUUUUGUCACCGUUUUUGUCGCU